UGAUGGAUCCUAAUGAGGCCUUUGUUCUUCCUGAGCCUUUCUUGUAAAGCUCUUUCCUCCCUCUGUGGAGAGGCACAGAGUUCUUCAAACUGGGCGGAGAUGUCUUAAAUUAGAAAUGGAGCCUAUGAAGAAACCAAGAGGUUUUGAAGCUAGCUUCACCAUGGCAGCUUCAUGCCACCUCUGCUCUCUACCGGCCCCUCCUCAGGGUUUUACUCCUCUCCCCUUGAAUGCAUGAGCUCUACGAGGCUGCUGCAGACGCAUCUGCUCCCACGCUGGCCACAAACGUCCAUCUUUCUCAGGCAGCAACAGAGGAAAUAAAUAGCCUUUCCGGGCCUUCCUCUUGCAAAUAAUGGAUAUGCUGCCAUAGAUCUUCCUGCUUCUGCUUUUCCUGUCUCUAAAGGAAGUGCAUCCAGUGGUCCCUGGCCACUGGGUCUUUGUUGGAAAAGCUGUUUUCCAAGAUCAUUUGGCUUUAAAAAAAAGCGAUGAGCCCACAGGGACUUAGAGAUUGUGUGUGUUGAGAUUCACUCUAUAGGAGACAGCCUCUUUCUUUGGCGGGGCAGAGGUAGGGGGAGGAAGUAAGAAAAGGGCAAAGUGAAUAAAAAUCUCACCUAAAUCCUGCUGACGCCUGCUGUUCCUUCAAAUGCUACCUCCCACCCUGCAGGGCUUUACAAAGCACUUGUUCAUCUAUUGCCUUGUAGGUGGAAAGAGAAUUGCCCUCUUUCAACAAAUGAGAAAAUGAGGCUCAGAGAAGUUAAGUGACUUGCCCAAAAUCACUCAGCUGGGGGUGACAGACUAAGGAUUUAAGUCUAGGUCUCUUAAUCUUAUGUUUUUUCCAAUACCCCAAAGCACCUCCCAUGGGCUGCCAGCAGCCUGAACAUUUAGCCCAUUUGUGGAGGCUGGCAUUUGGAUCCCACUGCAGCGUGUUACCCACUUAAGCUUUAUUUCUGAAUCUGUAUAUUUAAGCAACAAUUUUGUUUCAGAGGACUCCAGAGAGUGGCCUUAUUUAACCUUCCUCUGGAGGUGUGUCUAUCUGGUGGAGAACCAUGAAGGGGCUGGGAGAGGAGGGGAAAGGAGGAGCCAGCAGGGAAUUUUCCCAGUUUUCCACUGGGUGAAGCUGAGGUCCAGGGAGUCAGACAAACCCAGGAUCCUCCUGGCAUUCUGAACACUUGCCAAAAUCUCUGCUCUUUGCUCUCAUGACUCGUCUGGGCUGGUUCCAAGUGUGGAGGAGUGCAGUCAGCAGAAGUGUUUGUGCUGGGGGUAGGGGGCGGCAGGACUGAUGCUAUGAGGAAGGAGGGUGUUUACACCAAGAGUCCAGCCAAGCCUGGGGUCACAGGGACUGGUGCAGAGCAGAAAGUGUCCUCUGAGCUGGAGGGGUGUUGAUCUCCUCCAGAAAUUCUUGGAUACAAUAGCUUCUUCUGCACUAGCUGGCUAUCCCCUCAUGGUGCAGAUGGAACACUCUGGUGAAAAGUUUUGGAGCUAAAUAACUGGGUUCAAAUAUCAUCUCUGCUGAUUAGCUGACAGAUCCUGGUUAAUAGUUCUGCCAGCCUUACCAGAUGUCAUGGACUUGCUUGUGUCACAGAUGCCCUAAGGGGAAGGGGCUGUGAAGGGCUGAUCCAGAAUAAAUACGGUCCUUGAUAGCUGACUCUCAAUCGACUGAGAAGCCACACCAAAGUCUAUCAAAACCUUCAGUUCCAGAUAGAAUCAGAGGGGGCUAAUAUUUGAGGAGUGCAAGAUUUGGAGGCUUGCAGACUGAGACUGGAAACUAGAAAGUGACCAAACAGAAUGCCCGAUGGGACCUUUGGCAUCUGCUUGUCAAGGGAGAGGGGGAGGGAAUGGGGAUGGCCAGAAAGGCCAAGGGAAGACUCCUUGUAAAUGUCUCCUACAGAUUUUGAUAAUGCAUUUAUAAACCAAGCCAAAUACUAUGGAAA
Non-coding RNA from Sus scrofa (pig), 1928 nucleotides. NCBI's taxonomy places the organism in Eukaryota, Metazoa, Chordata, Mammalia, Artiodactyla, Suidae. The record is from RefSeq and is a predicted model, not a curated record.